GCCUGCGUGGUGUAGUGGUUUGAGUGCUGGACUAUGAUUCUGGAGAGCAGGGUUUGAGUUCCUGCUUGGCCA
Non-coding RNA from Phrynosoma platyrhinos (Desert horned lizard), 72 nucleotides. The record is from the annotation of a GenBank genome assembly. Lineage: Eukaryota; Metazoa; Chordata; Lepidosauria; Squamata; Phrynosomatidae.